RNAcentral lists this small RNA (117 nucleotides) under Marmota monax (woodchuck). Lineage: Eukaryota; Metazoa; Chordata; Mammalia; Rodentia; Sciuridae. The record is from RNAcentral.
GCCAGGAGUGGUGAUGCACACCUGUAGUUCCAGCUGUUCAGAGGCUAAGUCAGGAGGCUCACUUGAACCCAGCAGUUCAAGACCACCCUGGACAACAGAGUUGAGAGCUUGUCUUUA